Molecule: transfer RNA, 88 nt
Filed under: Komagataella pastoris
Lineage: Eukaryota; Fungi; Ascomycota; Pichiomycetes; Pichiales; Pichiaceae
Also listed under: 3 other names
Description: tRNA-Tyr
Rfam family: tRNA
About the family: Transfer RNA (tRNA) molecules are approximately 80 nucleotides in length. Their secondary structure includes four short double-helical elements and three loops (D, anti-codon, and T loops).
Source: RNAcentral
CUCUCAGUGGCCAAGCUGGCUAAGGCGCGAGACUGUAAACGUAUUUCAGCUAAUCUUGAGAUCGGGUGUUCGACUCACCCCUGGGAGA